UUCAACUUUCAAUCUUCAACUCAGUUGGAUAUCCUGGUCCUCUAACUGUUGAAACAAUAUAACUUCCACUGGAUGUUUUUGAGUUCCACAUCCUGAUUUCCUUCUAUAUUUUCAUUUAAAUUUAACCAAUUUUUCAAAGUGAAGUCAUAAGCUAUAGACUCUACUGAAUUCUUGAAUAUUUUCCUGGCUUUUGGACCCUUGGAGCCCACGGAGUGACUGAUUUUCUUCUAUUUCUUAAAAAGACCUCCUUUUAAAUGACAUUUUGAAGACCACUCGCUAUGCAUGGCGGCUCUGUUGUGAUGUGACUUUUUCCUUUUCCUUCUGCGCUCCUUUCUUUGGGUACUCUUUUGAAUACUUUACCUUAUAUUUAUUUUUUCCUGACUUGUCAUCUCACUAUCCUCUGUC
This 405-nucleotide small RNA is filed under the name Drosophila ananassae. RNAcentral describes it as "GF27786". Lineage: Eukaryota; Metazoa; Arthropoda; Insecta; Diptera; Drosophilidae. The record is from RNAcentral.